Molecule: transfer RNA, 74 nt
Filed under: Elusimicrobiota bacterium
Lineage: Bacteria; Pseudomonadati; Elusimicrobiota
Description: Elusimicrobia bacterium (activated sludge metagenome) tRNA-Val
Rfam family: tRNA
About the family: Transfer RNA (tRNA) molecules are approximately 80 nucleotides in length. Their secondary structure includes four short double-helical elements and three loops (D, anti-codon, and T loops).
Source: RNAcentral
GCUCGGUUAGCUCAGUUGGUUAGAGUACCUCCUUGACAUGGAGGGGGUCACAGGUUCGAGUCCUGUACCGAGCA